AUCGAACGCUGGCGGCAGGCUUAACACACGCAAGUUCGAACGGUAGCAGGAGAAAGCCUGCUUUUCUUGCCGACAGCGGCGGACGGGCGAGUAAUGCUCGGGAAUCUGGCUUCUGGAGGGGGAUAACUACGGGAAACUGUAGCUAAUACCGCGUAGAAUCGGAAAAUGAAAGUCGCGGGACCGCAAGGCCGCAUGCCAUGAGAUGAGCCCAAGUGGGAUUAGGUAGUUUGGUGGGGUAAAGGCCUACCAAGCCUGCGAUCUCUAGCUGGUCUGAGAGGAUGACCAGCCACACUGGAACUGAGACACGGUCCAGACUCCUACGGGAGGCAGCAGUGGGGAAUAUUGCGCAAUGGGGGCAACCCCGACGCAGCCAUGCCGCGUGAAUGAAGAAGGCCUUCGGGCUGUAAAGUUCUUUCGGUAUUGAGGAAGGUUGAUGUGUUAAUAGUACAUCAAAUUGACGUUAAAUACAGAAGAAGCACCGGCUAACUCCGUGCCAGCAGCCGCGGUAAUACGGAGGGUGCGAGCGUUAAUCGGAAUAACUGGGCGUAAAGGGCACGCAGGCGGUUAUUUAAGUGAGGUGUGAAAGCCCCGGGCUUAACCUGGGAAUUGCAUUUCAGACUGGGUAACUAGAGUACUUUAGGGAGGGGUAGAAUUCCACGUGUAGCGGUGAAAUGCGUAGAGAUGUGGAGGAAUACCGAAGGCGAAGGCAGCCCCUUGGGAAUGUACUGACGCUCAUGUGCGAAAGCGUGGGGAGCAAACAGGAUUAGAUACCCUGGUAGUCCACGCUGUAAACGCUGUCGAUUUGGGGAUUGGGCUUAAAGCUUGGUGCCCGUAGCUAACGUGAUAAAUCGACCGCCUGGGGAGUACGGCCGCAAGGUUAAAACUCAAAUGAAUUGACGGGGGCCCGCACAAGCGGUGGAGCAUGUGGUUUAAUUCGAUGCAACGCGAAGAACCUUACCUACUCUUGACAUCCAUGGAAUCCUGUAGAGAUACGGGAGUGCCUUCGGGAACCAUGAGACAGGUGCUGCAUGGCUGUCGUCAGCUCGUGUUGUGAAAUGUUGGGUUAAGUCCCGCAACGAGCGCAACCCUUAUCCUUUGUUGCCAGCGAUUUGGUCGGGAACUCAAAGGAGACUGCCAGUGAUAAACUGGAGGAAGGUGGGGAUGACGUCAAGUCAUCAUGGCCCUUACGAGUAGGGCUACACACGUGCUACGAAUGGCGUAUACAGAGGGUGGCGAAACUGCGAGGUGGAGCGAAUCUCAGAAAAGUACGUCUAAGUCCGGAUUGGAGUCUGCAACUCGAACUCCAUGAAAGUCGGAAUCGCUAGUAAUCGCGAAAUCAGAAUGUCGCGGUGAAUUACGUUUCCCGGGCCUUGUCACACCGCCCGUCA
RNAcentral lists this ribosomal RNA (1388 nucleotides) under uncultured bacterium. Its description in RNAcentral is "16S ribosomal RNA". It matches the Rfam family "Bacterial small subunit ribosomal RNA", at positions 28 to 1399 of the family's 1533-position model. The record is from RNAcentral.